UAGAGUUUAUUCCUGGCUCAGGAUGAACGCGGGCGGCGUGCUUAACACAUGCAAGUCGAACGGAGUUUACCACCAUGAUUUCUUCGGAAUGAUAAUGGUAAACUUAGUGGCGGACGGGUGAGUAACGCGUGGGUAACCUGCCUCACACUGGGGGACAACAGUUGGAAACGACUGCUAAUACCGCAUAAGCGCACAGCUUCGCAUGAAGCAGUGUGAAAAACUCCGGUGGUGUGAGAUGGACCCGCGUCUGAUUAGAUAGUUGGUGAGGUAACGGCCCACCAAGUCAACGAUCAGUAGCCGGCCUGAGAGGGUGAACGGCCACAUUGGGACUGAGACACGGCCCAAACUCCUACGGGAGGCAGCAGUGGGGAAUAUUGGACAAUGGGGGAAACCCUGAUCCAGCGACGCCGCGUGAGUGAAGAAGUAUUUCGGUAUGUAAAGCUCUAUCAGCAAGGAAGAAAAUGACGGUACUUGACUAAGAAGCCCCGGCUAACUACGUGCCAGCAGCCGCGGUAAUACGUAGGGGGCAAGCGUUAUCCGGAUUUACUGGGUGUAAAGGGAGCGUAGACGGCAAAGCAAGUCUGAAGUGAAAGCCCCGGGCUCAACCCGGGAACUGCUUUGGAAACUGUUUAGCUAGAGUGCAGGAGAGGUAAGUGGAAUUCCUAGUGUAGCGGUGAAAUGCGUAGAUAUUAGGAGGAACACCAGUGGCGAAGGCGGCUUACUGGACUGUAACUGACGUUGAGGCUCGAAAGCGUGGGGAGCAAACAGGAUUAGAUACCCUGGUAGUCCACGCCGUAAACGAUGAUUACUAGGUGUUGGGAGGCAAAGCCUUUCGGUGCCGCAGCAAACGCAAUAA
Molecule: ribosomal RNA, 856 nt
Filed under: uncultured bacterium
Lineage: Bacteria
Description: bacterial SSU rRNA
Rfam family: Bacterial small subunit ribosomal RNA
Source: RNAcentral